RNAcentral lists this unclassified non-coding RNA (408 nucleotides) under Hevea brasiliensis (rubber tree). Lineage: Eukaryota; Viridiplantae; Streptophyta; Magnoliopsida; Malpighiales; Euphorbiaceae. The record is from RNAcentral.
GUAAUUGUGAGGGAGGAGGACGAGCGGAGGAUGGCUAGUUGGUCGCGGGCGCCAUUGCCUGAAAGCCCCUCGAGAGUGCAUCGGGUUCAGGAGUUCUCGCCUCUGCGACCGGAUCCAGUUCCCCAGUUCUCGCCUCCCCGUCAAGUGAUGGCUCCUGUUGAGGUACCUGAGCGGACUCCAGAUCAUGUCUCAAUGCUGCAACAGCAGCAGCCGCAGAAGCCUGUGAUGGGAAGGUUGCCAAAGCCGAAAGCGAGGGAUUUGGAGAAGAGGGUGAUGAGCAUUGAGGAGAAGGAGAGGCUGAGUGAGGGCCUGCAGAGCUUGCCACAGGAGAAGAUGGAGCAGGUGCUACAAAUUGUGAAGAAGAGGAGCGGCGAGCUCGUGCAGGAUGGGGAUGAGAUUGAGCUUGAU